This 253-nucleotide ribosomal RNA is filed under the name uncultured bacterium. RNAcentral describes it as "partial 16S ribosomal RNA". It matches the Rfam family "Bacterial small subunit ribosomal RNA", at positions 524 to 776 of the family's 1533-position model. The record is from RNAcentral.
UACGUAGGUCCCGAGCGUUGUCCGGAAUUACUGGGUGUAAAGGGUGCGCAGGCGGUCUUGUGCGUCAGGAGUGAAAUAUCACGGCUUAACCGUGAGGGUGCUUUUGAUACGGCAAGACUUGAGUACGGGAGAGGAUGAUGGAAUUCCUGGUGUAGCAGUGAAAUGCGUAGAUAUCAGGAGGAACACCGGUGGCGAAGGCGGUCAUCUGGCCCGGUACUGACGCUCAGGCACGAAAGUGUGGGUAGCAAACAGG